AGCUGAGAGGUUCAGGGAGGAGCUGAGAUGUUACUGAACUCUAGAAGAUACUCAAACUUCCUCAUUCAACACAGUUCAACACAUAAACAUUAACUCUGCUCAACAUGCUGUCUUUGCUCACAUCUGGAUUUAUUCUGCUGGUUCUGCUCAUUAGAACAGGUGUAAACUGUCAACAUCUCACUGCAAUGAAGACUGAGGAGUCCAGUUUAGAGGGCGGUUCUGUUACUCUGUCCUACAAUUACUCUCAAACUGCUGUUUAUAGUGAUUAUUUCUUCUGGUACCGCCAGUAUCCUGGAAAACCUCCAGAGUUCCUGAUCUCUCACACUGGAACAGGAACCAAACUUCAGGAUCCAGUUCCUGGUUUUUCCUUUAAAGUGAGAGAUGAAAACAUCCAGAUGGACCUGCAGAUCAUCUCUGCUGCAGUGACAGAUUCUGCUGUGUACUACUGUGCUGUGAAGCCCACAGUGACAGGAAACACCAGAACUCUGUACAAGAACCUGCAAUACUCCACAUCAUCCACUAGAGGACCUCACACACUGUUCUACUUCUAUGGUUUUUGAUUCAGUCUGAUUGAGCAGCUGAAAAUAAAGCAGACAUCU
Molecule: non-coding RNA, 599 nt
Organism: Girardinichthys multiradiatus
Lineage: Eukaryota; Metazoa; Chordata; Actinopteri; Cyprinodontiformes; Goodeidae
Source: the annotation of a RefSeq genome assembly